AAAGAAAAAGGGGAAAUGAAAAUAUGGGCACCACGUAGUUUGUCCAAGUGGUGUUACCGUAGUCUGAUGUCAUCAUUAUUGUCCUACACUGGCAAUCUCGCAGAGGAACAGAUUGGAAUGGCAUGAUUCAACAGCUGCAGGAAAACCCCUCUAAUGUGGGAUGGUGUGGACUGCAGAAAACUGGCAGAUACUGGCAGAAGACCCCGCAAAAAACAACAUACCUUACAGGAGUGUGUGACAAUUGGUUAGGAAUAAAUGUGGUCAUCGGGACCAUUACAUCAUCUUUUGACAGACUUCAAACAAAGACAAGUCUUCUGGACUGAGAGGUUCUGCUAGGUAGGUAAAAAAAGAUCUCAUUUAAUACCACAAACCUCAACUGAAUAUCAAACAACCUUUGCAUUUCCCACCAAACAGCUUUAUUCAGCAGCAGAGCUUUUCCAAAUAGUGAGAGCUACUUUUUCUUGUUGGAAUGUUCUUUGGUUUAUAUUGUAAAAUUAUUGCAGUUUGUAAAGCGUUGCAAAAUCCUGUAUACUUUUUAUGGUGGUGGUUUUGGUGGGCAGGGGUAACAGGAAAUGAGUCAUUCCAUAUAUGGUAUGGACAUAUAGUCUGUAUAAUUGCACCAAAUCACAUUAUCAAUUUUAGCUUAGCAGCUGGCUGGUCAGUGCUGGUGCUGAGAGGGAGGUGACAUUACAUGAAUGAUCAUCUCUGUUUCCACCAGUGGCAUCACUAACCUACUGUCUCAUCUGGUCUGGAUGCCUUGUGUGCACCACCUGAUCCAAAGGUCUCACUGCUGCUUUUUCAUUCAGUUCUACUUUGACCAAAUCAUCCCUCUUUGAUUUUCAGUUGUUGUGGUUGUCUGUGAACUUGACACAACUGAAUUAAAAACAAAUUAACAAAUUAGUGAAAAAAUGGAAGUACUUUUUUCUUUUUAUUUACAUCCUUGCCCUUUUUCUUUUAAAGAUAUUUCUCUUUUCUUGUGGAAUCCUUGGCCUGCAGUACAGUGAAUCAAAGUAUGGGAAAUGCUUUAAGAGCUUAAAAGAAAAGGUUGAAAGUUCAUUUCUAAGAAAAGUGAUCAUAGAAGUAGAUCACCUGCACUCCUUGGAAUUUCUUAUUUAGGUUAUUUUAAAAGGCAGUCCAUGUUUUGGAAACAUUAGUCCAUAUCAAUUAGGUCCAAUAAUUAGGGAUUUGGUAGAAGAAAUCCACGAACUGAGUAAAUUUCAAAGUAAAUCUUAAAGAAGAAUAAAUGUUUAAUUUCAAAAUAAAAGAAAAAAAUGAGUAAAAUAAAACAACCAAAUGAAAGCUUGUCAGCUUUGUUGACUACUUUUAUGAAUUUCUAUAAGGUGGGAUCUCCAUCCAUCUAUUUUCCUGACCAGCUACAUCUCGUUCGGGGUCAGAAGGUUGCUGGAGCCUGUUGGAGAUUAAAAAUGUGUGUUAGUAACAUAUGAAUGAUUAGAAAUUAUUUCCUAAUCUUUUAAAAAAUAAAAACAGUCAUGAUUUAGCUUAUUCGUUCUCUUUUCAACCGAUUAGAAUCAAUCAAUCCAGUUUUAUUUGUCAAAUACUUAAAUUGCAUUGCAGUAGUGAAAUGCAUUUUUUUGUACCACUCCAAGUAUUAAAGAUUGUAGUUUCUAUGUCUCAGUAUAUUUUGAAGUCACAGCUAUUAAUGCAUUCUGAAUACAAGAGGGGUCAGACAUUUUCAUUCUAAGUUCCAAAAAAAUAAAAAUAAAAAUUUUCACUACAUAUUUACUUUCUAAUGCAACUAAGACAUGGAGCAGGUGGAAAAUUAUUUAAAACUCAAUUUGAUUUUUAUGUAUAGGUAUUUGGUAUGCUGAAGCUUUUAAAAUGCAAAAAAAUAAAAAAUAAAAUUCAAGAUUCACCUUGUCUUGUCCGCAUCAUUUAUUAACGAAACACUUACUUAUGUAGAUGCAAACAUCUUCAACUUUACAUGUAACAAAAAAAAAAAGCUUUAUACAAAAAACAGAAUCUCAAAGAUCUAUUUUUAUAUGACAAUGAAAAAAAGAAAAACACCAAACCGCUGGAACGGUGGAAACAAUCGUGCUAUCAGGUUUGAAAAGUAUAUAUGUCCCUCAGAAGUUUACUGCAGGUAUAUCGCAGACAGUCACAGUUAGCAAACUGGCCAACCUUAGUAUGAACUAGACCGCAUGAUCGCAGUUUGGAUGUGGUAUGAUUGAAGCGAUGGCCGAUCGCUGUGAAGUAUAAACUGCACAUCAGAUCACAUGCACAGUGACAGGUGACAGAUAAAUACUUUUAUACUUAAGAUCUUUCUGAUUACACUCAUGGCUUUGACAGAAUACUCUUUUUUCCCCAGUCUGUCAGCUUGACCUUGCAAUAACAAUUAACAUUUACAAAUGCAUUAAAAUCUAUUUCUUUUCCCUCACCCUUCCAGUGAUCAGACCUCCAAGACCAUAGAUAGACCUGUAAAUUACAUCUUUGCUUUUGAGCUCUGUAUUCUCUUCAAUAAAACCUUUACAAGCAGCUUUAAGGGCAGGUAGUUUUUUUUCAUCUACCCCUGCUCUUGUUUAGACUUAAAGAGAAUUUUGACAUUAACACACCCUUCCACUAUAGGCAUCAACACAUUACCCACUUAAGAUUAAAACCUCCUCUUUUUAGCCUGAAGUCUAAUACCUGAGACUUAAAGAUGCCAAUUCUCAUCUGAGCUGGUUCACAGUUUGCUGCACAUCAAUCCAGUUCCUGCUGGAAAUCUAUAAACUAGGUUAAAACACAGGGGGAAACUCAUUAACUCACACGGAAGAAACUCAGUUGUUGCUUGUUAUUGAUUCAGUCAAUGAAAACAUUUAUUGUUGAUAUACUAAUUUUUCACUUAUGUUAAAUUGCAUAUUUUGGUGCUCUAUGACUAUCCUAUAACAGGUCAUUCCAGUUUUUUUCUUCUGGUAUGUAAAUUAUUUUUCCAAUAGUUUAGUGAAACACAAGUCCUCCAUCCCUUUCUGUGCCUCAUGUAUCCAACCUACAGGGGAGUUUAGUUUCAUUAGUUGUAUGAUAACAAUUAAUGGACAUUUCAAGUAAAACAGAUAAAUCACAGUAACAUUUGCCUUCAUCUAGUCCAAAACUGUAGCAGCAACCCUAGGUCACCCCGGGAAAUGCAACCCUAACCAUAAAUUGUCCAAAACAAGGACAAUUUUGUCUUUUCUGUUUCAAACAUUUUCCUUUCACCUUUAAUGUCAAAGAGGUAACAGAACAGAUAUUAAUAUGGUGUAGUUUUAGUUUCUACUUCUAACAUUGCGAGACUUAUCAAUUGUCAUGUCGUGUCAUGUGCUCCCUGGCUACGUGUGAAUUGUUUGCUCAUAUGUGACUAUGUGUUAGGGAAAGAGUUUCCACAUGAUGUGACUGAUAAAAAUAGCGCCCCUUUAAAUGAACCAUGAACAUUUCCUGGCUUGCUGGAAGUCUAAAGAUAGAGGAUGGCUUCUGUUGCAGUUCAUGUACAUGUCUGCAGAAUUUGUGCUGGCUUAUCAUUUAUUAUAGAGUCUGAGCUUGCUCUGUGAAUCUUUCUGUCACUUGUUCCUAUAUGCGACUAAUGCAGAUAAACACCAGAUAUGUGAGGAGCUGUGCUGUUUGUUUGGCAGAUGGAUGGAGGCAUUAUGGUUAAGUUACAUGUCCAGGGAUUAUUAAGUCAGUCAAGACAAUGCGUUGGAACAGAUGUGGACAAAAAGCUGUUUAAAGAAGGAAAAUGAUCCUAAAAAAAGCCCAACCGCCUCUUUUCCACAUUUUUUUCAAUUAAAAUUUCAGAUGACAAAAGCCUUUUAGUCUUCUGUGAGGCUGCUUUAAAAGCAACAGCAAUGUGCAUUUGAUCAAGUUGGCGAAAA
Non-coding RNA from Oryzias latipes (Japanese medaka), 3839 nucleotides. NCBI's taxonomy places the organism in Eukaryota, Metazoa, Chordata, Actinopteri, Beloniformes, Adrianichthyidae. The record is from RefSeq and is a predicted model, not a curated record.